GUGUGUGUGUGUGUGUGUGUGGAUUGCUUAUUACCAUUGCAUAUCAGUUGUUGAAGAUGAUAUCUCUUCAAUUAUGAUACCGAAUAAACCGUACACUAGGGAAUUGAAUUGAGGAUAUAUUAGGAUGUUUGAGAAUUUAAAAAAGUUGAAGGUUAUGUACUUGAAUUGUGCAUGAGGUACGCUUAUAUGGAUGCUUCUUGUUUCGUAGUUUAAAGAAGCUUGUGAAGGUUCAAAUGAAAAAGACAAAAACUCCAUUGGUUGUGUUACAGGGUUGAAGCUCUAUGUUAAAAAAAAAAAGUUCAUUGGUUGUUUUUCUUCUUCAAUUGCAGUUUAGUUUGUUGGUUCCAUGUUUGUCCUUCAUGGGGAAUUCCCUUGAGGUUUUCAAAGCCAAGUUUGGAUCAAGUGAAAAUGAUUCUUUCUGACGGAAUAUUAUGGUAGGUUUGUUCCACCAUCUUGCAUUAUCGCUGAGGCUAAGCCCUUCAAUGGUGGUUGGUUUAGCUAGCUAACCCUAACCAUGAUUAGGUUUUAGAGAGAAUAAGGGAAAAUUGGAAAGAGAGAACUAACAAAUCAAAGAUCAACCAAAAGAGCCAAUUUUCUGUUUACACAGCUCAACUCAACUAAGCUUUGAUCUAAAAAUUUUGAGUCGGCUAUAUGGAUUCUCUUU
This 664-nucleotide unclassified non-coding RNA is filed under the name Hevea brasiliensis (rubber tree). Lineage: Eukaryota; Viridiplantae; Streptophyta; Magnoliopsida; Malpighiales; Euphorbiaceae. The record is from RNAcentral.